RNAcentral lists this long non-coding RNA (1613 nucleotides) under Salmo salar (Atlantic salmon). Its description in RNAcentral is "lncRNA (ENSSSAG00000095376.1)". Lineage: Eukaryota; Metazoa; Chordata; Actinopteri; Salmoniformes; Salmonidae. The record is from RNAcentral.
GCAUCACACAAACACCAUGAGAACAGAGGCAUCACACACACAACACCCUGUGAACAGAGGCAUCACACACAACACCCUGUGAACAGAGGCAUCACACAACACCCUGUGAGCAGAGGCAUCACACACAACACCCUGUGAACAGAGGCAUCACACACAACACCCUGUGAACAGAGACAUCACACACAACACCCUGUGAACAGAGGCAUCACACAACACCCUGUGAAAAGAGGCAUCACACAACACCCUGUGAACAGAGGCAUCAAACACAACACCCUGUGAACAGAGGCAUCACACACAACACCCUGUGACCAGAGGCAUCGCACACAACACCCUGUGAACAGAGGCAUCACACACAACACCCUGUGAGCAGUGGCAUCACACACAACACCCUGUGAACAGAGGCAUCGCACAACAACCUGUGAGCAGAGGCAUCACACAACACCCUGUGAACAGAGGCAUUACACACAAAACACCCUGUGAACAGAGGCAUCACACAACUCCCUGUGAACAGAGGCAUCACACACAACACCCUGUGAACAGAGUCAUCACACAGCACCCUGUGAACAGAGGCAUCACACAACACCCUGUGAGCAGAGGAAUCAAACACAACACCCUGUAAGCAGAGGCAUCACACAACACCCUGUGAACAGAGGCAUCACACACAACACCCUGUGAACAAAGGCAUCACACACAACACCCUGUGAACAGAGGCAUCACACAACACCCUGUGAACAGAGGCAUCACACACAACACCCUGUGAACAGAGGCAUCACACACAACACCCUGUGAACAGAGGCAUCACACAACACCCUGUGAACAGAGGCAUCACACACAACACCCUGUGAGCAGAGGCAUCACACACAACACCCUGUGAACAGAGGCAUCACACACAACACCCUGUGAACAGAGUCAUCACACAACACCCUGUGAACAGAGGCAUCACACACAACACCCUGUGAACAGAGGCAUCACACACAACACCCUGUGAACAGAGGCAUCACACACAACACCCUGUGAACAGAGGCAUCACACAACACCCUGUGAACAGAGGCAUCACACAACACCCUGUGAGCAGAGGCAUCACACACAACACCCUGUGAACAGAGGCAUCAAACACAACACCCUGUGAACAGAGGCAUCACACACAACACCCUGUGAACAGAGGCAUCACACAACACCCUGUGAACAGAGUCAUCACACACAACACCCUGUGAACAGAGGCAUCACACACAACACCCUGUGAGCAGAGGCAUCACACACAACACCCUGUGAACAGAGGCAUCACACAAUACCCUGUGAGCAGAGGCAUCACACACAACACCCUGUGAACAGAGGCAUCACACAACACCCUGUGAGCAGAGGCAUCACACACAACACCCUGUGAACAGAGGCAUCCACACAACACCCUGUGAACAGAGGCAUCACACACAACACCCUGUGAACAGAGUCAUCACACAACACCCUGUGAACAGAGGCAUCACACACAACACCCUGUGAGCAGAGGCAUCACACAACACCCUGUGAACAGAGGCAUCACACACAACACCCUGUGAACAGAGGCAUCACACAACACCCUGUGAACAGAGGCAUCACACACAACACCCUGUGAACAG